This 311-nucleotide ribosomal RNA is filed under the name uncultured bacterium. RNAcentral's name for it is "bacterial SSU rRNA". It matches the Rfam family "Bacterial small subunit ribosomal RNA", at positions 28 to 334 of the family's 1533-position model. The record is from RNAcentral.
GACGAACGCUGGCGGCGCGCCUAACACAUGCAAGUCGAACGAGAGAGAGGAAGCUUGCUUCCUUAAUCGAGUGGCGAACGGGUGAGUAACGCGUGAGGAACCUGCCUCAAAGAGGGGGACAACAGUUGGAAACGACUGCUAAUACCGCAUAAGCCCACAGCUCGGCAUCGAGCAGAGGGAAAAGGAGUGAUUCGCUUUGAGAUGGCCUCGCGUCCGAUUAGCUAGUUGGUGAGGUAACGGCUCACCAAGUCGACGAUCGGUAGCCGGACUGAGAGGUUGAACGGCCACAUUGGGACUGAGACACGGCCCAG